This 479-nucleotide ribosomal RNA is filed under the name uncultured bacterium. Its description in RNAcentral is "bacterial SSU rRNA". It matches the Rfam family "Bacterial small subunit ribosomal RNA", at positions 328 to 793 of the family's 1533-position model. The record is from RNAcentral.
GCUAAGCACUCCUACGGAGGCAGCAGUGGGGAAUAUUGCACAAUGGGCGCAAGCCUGAUGCAGCCAUGCCGCGUGUAUGAAGAAGGCCUUCGGGUUGUAAAGUACUUUCAGCAGUGAGGAAGGUGGGUAUGUUAAUAGCAUACUCAUUUGACGUUAGCUGCAGAAGAAGCACCGGCUAACUCCGUGCCAGCAGCCGCGGUAAUACGGAGGGUGCGAGCGUUAAUCGGAAUUACUGGGCGUAAAGCGCAUGCAGGUGGUUUGUUAAGUCAGAUGUAGAAAGGCCCGGGGCUCAACCUCGGAAUUGCAUUUAGAAACUGGACAAACUAGAGUACUGUAGGAGGGGGUAGUAAUUUCAGGUGUAGCGGUAGAAAUGCGUAGAGAUCUGAAGGAAUACCGGUGGCGAAGGCGGCCCCCCUGGACAGAUACUGACACUCAGAUGCGAAAGCGUGGGGAGCAAACAGGAUUAGAUACCCUGGUAG